UCUAAUUUCACUCUCACACACAAUAUGUGAUAAUUGUUGAAUUUUGUUGGUAAGUUUGAUAAUGGGGUUGUGUUGUAGUAGAGGAGAAAUGGGAAAGAGAGGAGGUUUAAUUUGUUGACAGAAGAUAGAGAGCACCGAUGAUCAAAAUGCACAUUCGCAUCUUCACUCAUUUGUGCUCUCUAUACUUCUGUCAUCACAUCACUCAUUUUACCUCCCUUCAUUUCCACUUCUCUUUUUUCUACCAUAUACUAUUUCAUUUCAUGUUUACAUUAUAAAUAUUCUACGAUUACAUGCAAAGUUUUGUGUUUGUUUGUGUAACCUUAUCACACAGUUAAUUUAAAGCUUUCAUUUCUAUUUAUUAAUGAUAGGGGGGUAGUACAUAUUUGGGAUAAAUAUAAUAGUCAUUUAAAUCACAAAAUUUGGUCAAAUUCUGGUCUGUCUCAUGAACUUUGAAAUUGGAAAAUUAUAUCAUGAAGUUUCACUUUUUCUCAAAUAUUGUCCCAUCCAUGAAAAAAUGUCGUCUUUUGACGAUAUUCAAAGCGAAAUGUUUUAUUAGUACUAAGUAUUUUAUUUUACUUUUUUAUUCAUUUAUUUACUCAUUUCUCUUCUUAUUUUGUUGGAGCGUUGUCGAUUUAUGCAUGGAUGAGACAAUUGAGAAAAAUUGAAACUUCAUGGUUUAAUAUUCUAAUUUUAAAGUUCACGAAACGGAUCAAAAUUUGACUAAAUUUCGUGAUUUAAAUGGUUAUUACUUAUUAUCCCUUCUGCUUAUUUUGUCCGGCACAUGCAUCUAUUAUACAAAGGCGUGAAAGAAGAACAAUUGUGCAGUAGUGGAACAUCUCUUCUACUUUCCUUUUUGUCUUUUUUAAAUGUUUUAAUAUGUUUCCUUUUUAUUCGAGAUCAAAAAUAUAAUUCUACUUUCCUUUUUGUCUUUUUUAAAUGUUUUAAUAUGUUUCCUUUUUAUUCGAGAUCAAAAAUAUAAAUAUAUUUUAGAAAAAAAAACAUACAUGUAUGUAUCUAGUUGGCUGUUGAUUAUGCAUGUCUGAAGAUGUGUAGUGAUAUUCAUUUCAUCUCAAAUUAAUUAAUCAAUUUAUGUCUUAUGAAUUGCUACAUUUGUAAUCCGUUUUGAAAUUUCGACAAUGGAGACUUUACAUCUAAGCACAAAAUUUGUAAAUAAUGGGACUCUUCGUGCUCAUUUUCAUUUAUUUACACAAUAUACUAAUUUAAUUAUUUUCAUUUCUGACAUUGGUGAAUAUGGGUUUAAACCAUGUAAUUCAUUGAUAUCUUGAAGGAAGAAGCGGUAUUUUUUCUAUCAACAGCGUUUUCAUUUGUUGGGUUUUGUGUUUAUUUAAUAUUCCUUAUUACGUUUUGUCUCAUUGUACUAUUACAUCUUUAACUUAUUAACUAUAAUGUCACAAUCUAAAGACAAUUACAUAUAGAUACUCAACAUAUUAAUUAUCGUAGGGUUAAUAAAAUAAAUAAAUAUCAACCACCAAGUUUUGGAAGUGUCCUGCCACCAGACUCUGACAAAAUCAAAAUUCUAAACUGAUGGGAAAUAGACCACUUCAAUUAAAAAAUAUUUAGCAUAUACUUUACCAAAAUAUAUAUAUAUAUAUAGGGGAGCAUUAAGCUCCUUUUACCCCUUUAGAUACUAUUUCCUUCUUAAUAUCAACUAUUAGAUGGAUGGAAUGGACGGACUAGAUUAAAAGAGUAGAUCUGAUCCCGUGUUGCAUUAUUAGUUCAUUUUUGUGCAUUAUAAGGGUAAAGCUGUAAAACAACAAUGGAUCCCACGCGUUACAAAACGGAAGGCGCGAUAUCAGCGGGAUAUUAAUUGAAACAGAUUGACCUUCCAUCCAAUCAGUCUCUCUCUCUCACAAUACCUCUCUCUUCCCUCAACCCACGAUCAAAACCCUUUCUCUCCCAUUUCCAUUCAUUUGUGAACCCUAGCCGCCGCUAAAUUGGGAGAAUCUCCACUAGAAUAGUCGACUGCUGUCGGCGUAACAUCCUUGGGCGACGAAGCAACGUUGUAAUCGGGGGGAGGUUUUGAAUCGACAACAAGAAUAACAGGAUAACCAUGUCGAAGAGAGGAAGGCCGUUUAAAACACAACCAACACCGAAUGCAGCAUUGGGUUGAUUUUGAGGAAGUGGUAGUCGAUGUUCUUCCAAUCGCAUUGGCCCACAAGCUUCGGCAUAGAUUAGCCGAGGGCAAAGCAGAGACCAGUACAGCCCGUGAAGAUGUUGAGCCUAGAAAACCUAGAGGAAAAAAGGCAAACCAUUUGUAUUGCCGUCGCACCCCGAUGGAGUUUUUGAAUGCUUUAAAAAGUCUUACUCCAAGGCAGAAAAAAGCUGUAAAGGAAUUGCAUUGAUAACAUAUGUUGGAAAUUCAAGUA
Molecule: long non-coding RNA, 2387 nt
Organism: Salvia hispanica
Lineage: Eukaryota; Viridiplantae; Streptophyta; Magnoliopsida; Lamiales; Lamiaceae
Source: RefSeq, a predicted model, not a curated record